GCAGCGUUACCUGCUGGGGCCAUCUCUAGCUGCCCCCACUGUGACACAAUGCCUGUGAUGUCACAAGAGCCAGAUCACAUCACAGCCAGGACAGCCCCGCCCUUCAUCUCCACUCCAGCUCAUCGAUUUAUAAUGGCCCCAGGCAACCAAAUUGGUGGCACCCACAAAAUACAGACCGAACUGGGAGGUCAACAAACACAUUUCCUCUGGAAGUCAGAGCCGAGGCAGCUGAAGAGUCCAUGGCAAAGAGCCUGGAACCAGAGAUUCCCAUUACAAUCUGUACACUGACUGCACACCCUUUUUGAGGGAGUCCAGCCUGUCUGGGGGCUUCACUCAGUGCAAAAAUGCCAAUAAAUAGUGUAUUUGAGCAAA
Chiroxiphia lanceolata (lance-tailed manakin) is the source of this 372-nucleotide long non-coding RNA. RefSeq lists it as uncharacterized. NCBI's taxonomy places the organism in Eukaryota, Metazoa, Chordata, Aves, Passeriformes, Pipridae. The record is from RefSeq and is a predicted model, not a curated record. The transcript has 2 exons.